CCUUAUUCUGUGAGAGGCUGCAGCACCAAGUGCUCUAGCUGACACUGUCCUGAGGCUAUGCUGAAUCCUCUUUUCUCAUCUCUAGGACCUAAGUGUGUACAUAUAAGCAUAUGGAAGUCAGAGGACAAUCUCAGGGCUGCUGCUUUGUAUUGUGUAGGAAACCCAGAAUGCAGUGCGGCACAGAGCCAAUCCCACACCACUUGACGUCAGCUUUGCCUCCCCGGAUUCUCUUCUGCCCAGCAACAAGGACUCCUGGUUGUGUACCGGGUCAGUGGGCCGGGCUGGGAAGGAGUGAGCCACAGAGAGCAGGAGGUGGCCAGUCUCUCCUGCCCCCUGCCAUCAGUGGGCUGGAAGACUCAGACAGACCCUCAGCUUAAUUGGCAAAUGGAUUCUCGAGGGGUAAUUUUGUUGAUGUGCGCUGUGGGAGGGUCUGCAGGCCCUAAUGACGGGCUCAGCCUGCUAAAUGUGUUUACCAAAAAAUAAGGUUAUUUAUUUCACAGAUACUUUUUCCCGUUGCCAUCAGCCUAUUAAUGCGAGUUUUAUGUAACAGGACAAACAGAUCACAGUGCAAAGUCUUUUGAAAAUCCCCCGUGAAUGCUGUAAUAAUGCUUUAAUGUAUUAAUCCUCCUAAUCCUGUCAAACUUCUAGAAGAAUUUCAGGACUGCUGACAGGAGCUCUGGCUCUCUGCGCCAGAGAAAGAGGUCUCCUGAGCCCUGAAACAGAGCUGGUAAAGUGGACCUGGGAUCACUGGUGCCGAGCACACCUUUCCCCGCCCCCUUCUCAAUCUCUGUCUUCUAUGUACUGAGGUAAGCACUGUAUUUCAUUCAGUCUCCACAGCAGCCCGGUGAAGCAGGAACUGCUGUUCUCUUCAAGUUUCAGACGGGAGUAGCCUGUCCCCACUGCAGGCAGCUGGCGGAGAGAGGCUGAGUUUAAAGCUUGUUGUGACUCAGAAACCCAAGCUACCUCUGCAUAGGCCAGAAAAGCAACAUUUUUGGCUCUUCAGGGCAAAUACUCUAAGCAUUCAACUCUCUGUCAUCAUGAAACCUCCAGAAGCCACACAUAAGCAAACAGGUG
Long non-coding RNA from Nannospalax galili (Upper Galilee mountains blind mole rat), 1074 nucleotides. RefSeq lists it as uncharacterized. NCBI's taxonomy places the organism in Eukaryota, Metazoa, Chordata, Mammalia, Rodentia, Spalacidae. The transcript has 3 exons. The record is from RefSeq and is a predicted model, not a curated record.